ACGCCCGUAUCCAUUUUCCACUACUUCUUUCCGCAAUUUUCAUUCCCUUUACUUUUGUCAAGCGUGGUCGAAAGACUCGUAGCCAUUGCAUCCUAGGAUACGUCAUGUUUUCUGUUUGUUUUAAAUUUGUAUCAGUGCACAAAAAACUUGUGCAUAAUCGUGACGUGUUGCAGCCAAACUCUCUGAAAAAUGGAUUCAACAAAUUAUGGAGGAUACAUUUUACUCCAUAUUAUAGUCGUUGGUCUAUCAAAAGAUCAUCCACUGACAGCUCCUGAUGCCUUGGAAUUGGCUUAUAAAUUUCAAGACGGUGCAAAACAAUGAAGCAUCUAUGGUUCUUUGUGCUAACUUCGUCUCACUCAUUGUCUUGGGAAUAUUGUCCUGCCACAAGGUUGCAUUCCUCUAAAUCUGGCUAUUAGCACUUUGGCUUCAUUGAAAGAGCUUGCACGAUAGAAUCUUUUUUCCUGGUCACCUCAUUCAAGUUGUUUUUUCAGCAGAACUAAACUUUAAGCAAAUGGAGCUUUAUCACGCUAUACCCAUGUUCUUCUAUUUGCUGGCUUCUUGUCACCGUAGGGGUUCCUCCUUAAUAUCAACUUUGAAAUUUGAUAAGUAUUGGGAUUGUAACAUUGGCCACUUUUACCAUUAUUUGGUAUCUAUUUUUACAAUUUCAUAAUGGGCUUUUGCAACAAGUUCUCUCCAGAGUCUUUCCUUUCAACCGCGGAAUUUUUGAAGAUUAUGUUGCCAACUUCUGGUGCACAUUAAAUGUUUUGGUCAAAAUCCGACGAAUAAUGGAACCCACCGCUAUCGCUAGAUAUUGUUUACUGCUAACAGCUCUUUUCAGUUUCCCUUGUGGACUUCAUCUAUAUUUUAAGAACAGUUCGCGUAAUUUGCAUAUCUCUUUGAUCAACGUGUCUCUUGCAUUUUUCCUAUUCUCCUAUCACGUCCUUGAGAAAUCAAUCCUUUUAGUAACGUUGCCUGCUUCCAUAGCUAGUCCUUAUUUCUCAUUCACUGCCUUCUGGUUUCUCUCCAUUUCCCAUUUCUCUAUGUUACCACAGUACGCCAAAGAUGAUUUGAUUAUCCCUGAUGUGGUUGACUUGCUCUCUAUUGUUUGCUGGCUCAUAGCAGCUUGAUAUUAGAUUUGCCUCAAUCUAUGGAGUUAAAAUGUCUAGCUGGUAUUUCGGCGAUUGGAAGUGCCGUUUUGGCUGUUAUGUUUCUCACAUGAUAUGGUUGAAAGAUAUUGAUACAAACCUUUUCAUUA
Long non-coding RNA from Daphnia pulicaria, 1255 nucleotides. RefSeq lists it as uncharacterized. Lineage: Eukaryota; Metazoa; Arthropoda; Branchiopoda; Diplostraca; Daphniidae. The transcript is spliced from 3 exons. The record is from RefSeq and is a predicted model, not a curated record.